UUCCAUCAGUUUCAGGUUGUUGGUAGAGGUGUACCUACGGAGUCAGAUCCAGUGACACACGAUGGUAUAUCAAGUUUUAUGGUAUUAACCCUAAAAAAAUAUAGACAUCAUUGUUGUAGGCAUUUUGGGCUGUAAUCUGCUAGAAUAUGUAGGCAUCAUUUGUUAUGAUAUACAACACAUUGGAGUUUUUAUCGACUUGCAAGUUGGCGAACCUAAUAGUAAAGGCGGAGCUGGGGUGUUGCUUGCUUCACAGGAGCGGUAGACUGAUCAUCGAAGUCUGCAAUCUACAAUGUGAAUCCAACCCUUUCUAUCUCUCCUAUGUUAUUAUCACCACCGCUGGUGGCUGUGAGGCGGCUUUGUCAUCCAAUGCAUAGAAGAAUGGUGACAGUGUGUGUUUCUAAAACUCGAAUCAAAGGUGGCGCAAAAGCAGCUUUGACUAGCGAAUGUUAUCAAUAAUUUCUCUGCCUCAAACUGUAGUUUUUAUUAAUGAUUUAUUGCUAGAAAAAACAAAUUUUUUUUCUACUUUGGAAUGUCUAUAAUAGUAGUGGUGGUGUUUCUUUUUUCUUUUUUGUACUUCCUGAAGUAUAUUUGGAGAAACCUGAUGCUUAUAUAAUUGAUAUGCCUUAGUUGAA
Helianthus annuus (common sunflower) is the source of this 632-nucleotide long non-coding RNA. RefSeq lists it as uncharacterized. Lineage: Eukaryota; Viridiplantae; Streptophyta; Magnoliopsida; Asterales; Asteraceae. The record is from RefSeq and is a predicted model, not a curated record. The transcript has 2 exons.